Molecule: small nuclear RNA, 315 nt
Filed under: Oryctolagus cuniculus (rabbit)
Lineage: Eukaryota; Metazoa; Chordata; Mammalia; Lagomorpha; Leporidae
Description: 7SK RNA
Rfam family: 7SK RNA
About the family: 7SK was discovered as an abundant small nuclear RNA in the mid-70s but a possible function has only recently been suggested. Two independent studies have found that 7SK RNA binds the CDK9/cyclin T complex (known as elongation factor P-TEFb).
Source: Rfam by way of RNAcentral
AUGUGAGGGUGAUCUGGCUGCGACAUCUGUCACCCCAUUGAUCGCCAGAGUUGAUUCUGCUGAUCUGGCUGGCUAGGCGGGUGUCCCCUUCCUCCCUCACGGCUCCUUGUGCGUCCCUCCCGAAGCUGCGUCAAAGAGGAUGACCUUCCCUGCUAGAGGAGGACCGGUCUUUGGUCAAGGGUAUACAGGUAGCUGUGCUCCCCUGCUAGAACCUCCAAACAAGCUCUCAGUGCAAACAUUUUAGAAAUCCAUGCAUAGUUUUUUUCCGCUGCAAUAUGCAUUUCCCAUGAAUUUCUGAGGGCCUUGGGUAUGAUG